GAUGAACGCUGGCGAGAUGCUUUACACAUGCAAGUCGUACGAGAGUUUUAAACUCAAGUGGCGGACGGGUGAGUAACACGUAAGAAUUUGCCUCUAGGAGGGGGACAACAGACAGAAAUGACUGCUAAUACCCCAUAUGCUUUCGAGUGAAAUGGAUUUUUUCGCCUAGAGAGAAGCUUGCGGCUGAUUAGCUUGUUGGUAAGGUAAUGGCUUACCAAGGCGACGAUCAGUAUCUGGUUUGAGAGGAUGAUCAGACACACUGGAACUGAGACACGGUCCAGACUCCUACGGGAGGCAGCAGUGGGGAAUUUUCCGCAAUGGGCGAAAGCCUGACGGAGCAAUCUCGCGUGAGGGAUGACUGCCUAUGGGUUGUAAACCUCUUUUUUCAGGGAGGAAUAAAUGACGUGUACCUGAAGAAUAAGCAUCGGCUAACUCCGUGCCAGCCGCCGCCGUAACA
RNAcentral lists this ribosomal RNA (457 nucleotides) under uncultured bacterium. RNAcentral describes it as "bacterial SSU rRNA". It matches the Rfam family "Bacterial small subunit ribosomal RNA", at positions 28 to 525 of the family's 1533-position model. The record is from RNAcentral.